RNAcentral lists this ribosomal RNA (490 nucleotides) under uncultured bacterium. Its description in RNAcentral is "partial 16S ribosomal RNA". It matches the Rfam family "Bacterial small subunit ribosomal RNA", at positions 30 to 507 of the family's 1533-position model. The record is from RNAcentral.
AUUGAACGCUGGCGGCAUGCUUUACACAUGCAAGUCGGACGGCAGCACAGAGAAGCUUGCUUCUUGGGUGGCGAGUGGCGGACGGGUGAGUAAUAUAUCGGAACGUACCGAGUAAUGGGGGAUAACUAAUCGAAAGAUUAGCUAAUACCGCAUAUUCUCUGAGGAGGAAAGCAGGGGACCUUCGGGCCUUGCGUUAUUCGAGCGGCCGAUAUCUGAUUAGCUAGUUGGUGGGGUAAAGGCCUACCAAGGCGACGAUCAGUAGCGGGUCUGAGAGGAUGAUCCGCCACACUGGGACUGAGACACGGCCCAGACUCCUACGGGAGGCAGCAGUGGGGAAUUUUGGACAAUGGGCGCAAGCCUGAUCCAGCCAUGCCGCGUGUCUGAAGAAGGCCUUCGGGUUGUAAAGGACUUUUGUCAGGGAAGAAAAGGCUGUUGCUAAUAUCAAUAGCUGAUGACGGUACCUGAAGAAUAAGCACCGGCUAACUACGUG